RNAcentral lists this ribosomal RNA (253 nucleotides) under uncultured bacterium. Its description in RNAcentral is "partial 16S ribosomal RNA". It matches the Rfam family "Bacterial small subunit ribosomal RNA", at positions 524 to 776 of the family's 1533-position model. The record is from RNAcentral.
UACAGAGGGGGCAAGCGUUGUUCGGAAUUACUGGGCGUAAAGGGCGCGUAGGCGGCCUGCUAAGUCGAACGUGAAAUCCCCAGGCUCAACCUGGGAACUGCGUCUGAUACUGGAUGGCUUGAAUCCGGGAGAGGGAUGCAGAAUUCCAGGUGUAGCGGUGAAAUGCGUAGAUAUCUGGAGGAAUACCGGUGGCGAAGGCGGCAUCCUGGACCGGCAUUGACGCUGAGGAGCGAAAGCCAGGGGAGCAAACGGG